This 303-nucleotide ribosomal RNA is filed under the name uncultured bacterium. RNAcentral's name for it is "partial 16S ribosomal RNA". It matches the Rfam family "Bacterial small subunit ribosomal RNA", at positions 507 to 809 of the family's 1533-position model. The record is from RNAcentral.
AGCAGUAGCCACGGUAAUACGAAGGGGGCUAGCGUUGCUUGGAAUUACUGGGCGUAAAGGGAGCGUAGGCGGAUGUUUAAGUCAGAGGUGAAAGCCCAGGGCUCAACCUUGGAACUGCCUUUGAUACUGGACAUCUUGAGUGUGGGAGAGGUAAGCGGAACUCCGAGUGUAGAGGUGAAAUUCGUAGAUAUUCGGAAGAACACCAGUGGCGAAGGCGGCUUACUGGCCCAUUACUGACGCUGAGGCUCGAAAGCGUGGGGAGCAAACAGGAUUAGAUACCCCAGUAGUCCCUGUCUCUUAUAA